RNAcentral lists this ribosomal RNA (399 nucleotides) under uncultured bacterium. RNAcentral's name for it is "bacterial SSU rRNA". It matches the Rfam family "Archaeal small subunit ribosomal RNA", at positions 339 to 742 of the family's 1478-position model. The record is from RNAcentral.
GCGCGAAAACUUUACAAUGCGAGAAAUCGUGAUAAGGGAACCCCGAGUGCCCGUAAAUUCGGGCUGUCCGCCAGUGCAAAUAGCUGGUGAAGAAAGGGCCGGGCAAGACCGGUGCCAGCCGCCGCGGUAAUACCGGCGGCUCGAGUGGUGGCCACUAUUACUGGGCUUAAAGCGUCCGUAGCUUGAUUGUUAAGUCUCUUGGGAAAUCCACCGGCUCAACCGAUGGGCGUUCAGGAGAAACUGGCAAUCUAGGGACCGGGAGAGGUGAGAGGUACUCCAGGGGUAGGAGUGAAAUCCUGUAAUCCUUGGGGGACCACCUGUGGCGAAGGCGUCUCACUAGAACGGCUCCGACAGUGAGGGACGAAAGCUGGGGGAGCAAACCGGAUUAGAAACCCUUGU